This 1152-nucleotide ribosomal RNA is filed under the name Staphylococcus aureus. Its description in RNAcentral is "bacterial SSU rRNA". It matches the Rfam family "Bacterial small subunit ribosomal RNA", at positions 1 to 1134 of the family's 1533-position model. Lineage: Bacteria; Bacillati; Bacillota; Bacilli; Caryophanales; Staphylococcaceae. The record is from RNAcentral.
UUUAUGGAGAGUUUGAUCCUGGCUCAGGAUGAACGCUGGCGGCGUGCCUAAUACAUGCAAGUCGAGCGAACGGACGAGAAGCUUGCUUCUCUGAUGUUAGCGGCGGACGGGUGAGUAACACGUGGAUAACCUACCUAUAAGACUGGGAUAACUUCGGGAAACCGUAGCUAAUACCGGAUAAUAUUUUGAACCGCAUGGUUCAAAAGUGAAAGACGGUCUUGCUGUCACUUAUAGAUGGAUCCGCGCUGCAUUAGCUAGUUGGUAAGGUAACGGCUUACCAAGGCAACGAUGCAUAGCCGACCUGAGAGGGUGAUCGGCCACACUGGAACUGAGACACGGUCCAGACUCCUACGGGAGGCAGCAGUAGGGAAUCUUCCGCAAUGGGCGAAAGCCUGACGGAGCAACGCCGCGUGAGUGAUGAAGGUCUUCGGAUCGUAAAACUCUGUUAUUAGGGAAGAACAUAUGUGUAAGUAACUGUGCACAUCUUGACGGUACCUAAUCAGAAAGCCACGGCUAACUACGUGCCAGCAGCCGCGGUAAUACGUAGGUGGCAAGCGUUAUCCGGAAUUAUUGGGCGUAAAGCGCGCGUAGGCGGUUUUUUAAGUCUGAUGUGAAAGCCCACGGCUCAACCGUGGAGGGUCAUUGGAAACUGGAAAACUUGAGUGCAGAAGAGGAAAGUGGAAUUCCAUGUGUAGCGGUGAAAUGCGCAGAGAUAUGGAGGAACACCAGUGGCGAAGGCGACUUUCUGGUCUGUAACUGACGCUGAUGUGCGAAAGCGUGGGGAUCAAACAGGAUUAGAUACCCUGGUAGUCCACGCCGUAAACGAUGAGUGCUAAGUGUUAGGGGGUUUCCGCCCCUUAGUGCUGCAGCUAACGCAUUAAGCACUCCGCCUGGGGAGUACGACCGCAAGGUUGAAACUCAAAGGAAUUGACGGGGACCCGCACAAGCGGUGGAGCAUGUGGUUUAAUUCGAAGCAACGCGAAGAACCUUACCAAAUCUUGACAUCCUUUGACAACUCUAGAGAUAGAGCCUUCCCCUUCGGGGGACAAAGUGACAGGUGGUGCAUGGUUGUCGUCAGCUCGUGUCGUGAGAUGUUGGGUUAAGUCCCGCAACGAGCGUAACCCUUAAGCUUAGUUGCCAUCAUUAAGUUGG